RNAcentral lists this ribosomal RNA (468 nucleotides) under uncultured bacterium. RNAcentral's name for it is "partial 16S ribosomal RNA". It matches the Rfam family "Bacterial small subunit ribosomal RNA", at positions 28 to 507 of the family's 1533-position model. The record is from RNAcentral.
GACGAACGCUGGCGGCGUGCUUAACACAUGCAAGUCGAACGGAAAGGCCCUGCUUUUGUGGGGUGCUCGAGUGGCGAACGGGUGAGUAACACGUGAGUAACCUGCCCUUGACUUUGGGAUAACUUCAGGAAACUGGGGCUAAUACCGGAUAGGAUCUCCUGCUGCAUGGUGGGGGUUGGAAAGUUUCGGCGGUUGGGGAUGGACUCGCGGCUUAUCAGCUUGUUGGUGGGGUAGUGGCUUACCAAGGCUUUGACGGGUAGCCGGCCUGAGAGGGUGACCGGCCACCUUGGGACUGCGAUACGGACCAGAAUCCUACGGGCGGCAGCAGUGGGGAAUAUUGCACAAUGGGCGGAAGCCUGAUGCAGCAACGCCGCGUGCGGGAUGACGGCCUUCGGGUUGUAAACCGCUUUCGCCUGUGACGAAGCGUGAGUGACGGUAAUGGGUAAAGAAGCACCGGCUAACUACGUG